CUGCCCACCUAGAGCUAAUGGUGCUUCACGUGGCCAGAGCAGAAGGGUGAAGCAUACUUCUCUCCCAAACCCAGGACAGACAAUCCACCCCUCUAUUCUGGAUCCUGUCGUGAGAGACAAUC
RNAcentral lists this small nucleolar RNA (122 nucleotides) under Notamacropus eugenii (tammar wallaby). RNAcentral's name for it is "Small nucleolar RNA SNORA26 (ENSMEUG00000018241.1)". It matches the Rfam family "Small nucleolar RNA SNORA26". From Rfam's summary of the family: The snoRNA HBI-6 belong to the H/ACA family of snoRNAs, guiding the pseudouridylation of position U4522 if the 28S rRNA. Lineage: Eukaryota; Metazoa; Chordata; Mammalia; Diprotodontia; Macropodidae. The record is from RNAcentral.